RNAcentral lists this long non-coding RNA (3534 nucleotides) under Nicotiana tabacum (common tobacco). Its description in RNAcentral is "long non-coding RNA (NTAB_LNC015219)". Lineage: Eukaryota; Viridiplantae; Streptophyta; Magnoliopsida; Solanales; Solanaceae. The record is from RNAcentral.
CAAGCUAAAGUCAUUUUGUUAGUGACAUAUUUGAUGGCCAGAACCCCUAUUCCCGAUAAGCUCAAUAAAAAUUACUUAUGACAGUUUAAACCUCAUUUAGUAUUCAUUGUUUGAUACACCUCAAUGAAGCAGAUAUAAGAGUUUAAUUUCUGUAUAGUAACAGUGUCAGGUCAUCUAAAAGGAUUUAGACCAACUCGACUCGUUCCUUAUCAUGCUUGUGGUUGAAGACAAUUGUGUAUUCAAGUGUGAAUGGGUAUGUGGAUUUUCCUUAUACUGAGUUUAAGAGUUUGUUACUUUAGUUGUUUAUACUGCCGCAUCUUUUUUAAUGUUCGAUACCUUGACUCCUUUGUUUCAAAAACUAUCUACCAUUUCUGUUCUGAAUGGUUAAGGUAAAAUGUGAAUCUCGAGAUUGGAAAGUUGCAUUUUCUCUAUCAUUUCUGAGUAUUGCAUCAUAUUUUCUGAAUGGGUAUGUUAAAUUCUUUGUUCCCAAAAAAGGGCGAAAAGGCCAACUUUAAGAAAAAACCAAAAAUUUGAUUUGAGAUGGACAGAGUAAAUCCAUUGUUGAAACUCAUAUGCAUUCUUCAACAUAUGUAACUUUGGUCUUUGAAGCAGUUUUUAUUUUAACUGAAGUUAUCUAAUCUAUUUGUGGCGAAGACUUCUGAAGUCUUAUAAAUGUGAAAUCUUUAUUCAAAAUGAAGACCAAGCAGGAUCUCCACGGAGGGGGUUCAAAAAAAUAUUUUUGUAGCUAGUGAGAAUUGAACUCAUAACCUUACGUAGAUUUUGAACCCCCUUGACCAUUAAACUACACUUUUGGAUUGUGUUAAGGGUGUUCAAAACUUAAUAUAUAGAGAUAAAAAAUAAAUUUUGCCUUAUAUAUACAGUGUAAUUUUUCGGCGAAGGGUGUUCGGGUGAACACCCUUGCGCCCCCUAAAUCCGCCCCUGUAUCUAACUAGGACCACCAAGAAUGGCAAUUUUUGAAAGGUGCAGUGAAUGUAAGAUGCAGCUUUUGCAGAAGUAUUUACAACAACAACAAACCCACUGUAAUUUCAUAAAUGGGGUAUGGGAAGCAUAGUAUGUAUGCAAAUGUAAAAAAAAUUGGCUUAAAUUAUUAAAUAUUUUAUUUAUAUUUGAAUAUCAGGGUUUAACAAUAGUUCAUAAACGUGAGCCCAAUUAUAAAUGUGAUAAUUGGUUAUCGGGCCGUGCACUUGUGUUUGGUGGGUCUAGUACGGCGGUGAGUAUAGGCUCAACCCGUAAGGCCUGUAAUGGGAGGGCCCAUUGUCCCAUUGACGCUGCCAUAUUGGAAAAAGGGUAUUAGAAAGGAAGACCUAGGCCUUCGUCAAUCUGUGAUACAGCUCAAAUAGGUACACAACCAUUUUUGCUAAUCUUGAUUUAUUUUGUUUCUUAAUAUCAUAUUUGAUCUUGGGUUAUAAUUUGUCAAUAUUCUCACAUGUGGUAUCAGAAACCUAGAGAGCAUGAUUUAGGAUCAAAAUACCUUGAUUAAUAAGGUUUUAUAUUUGUAAAUAAAUCCGAAAUUAGUUGCUGUAAUUUCUUGAUGAAAUUUUUGAAAUUUCGAAUUAGAUGUUAGGGCUUUUAUUCCUCUCAUUUAUAGCUUCGAUUCGAUAUAUGGUUCAUUAAAUUACUAUUAAAAUUGAGGAAGGAAUUAAGAUUUUACAAAACUAGGGUUUCAUAUUUCAAAACGAAGUGAUUUUCGAUUUCGAACCAUUAAAUCUGCUCUUUGAUUCGAUUCAAAGGUUCUUGUGAGUUCCCUGAAUGUUUCUAAACAUUUUUGUUGCUUUUAAUUGAUUUUUACGUCACAAAAAAUCUAGUUUAAGAGUUAGGGUUCUUGGAUUCUUUGAAAGCUUGAAUCCGAAUUUUUGUACCUCAAUUGUAUGGAAUUUGUUAUGCGUUUAGACAAUUUUUUGUUAUAAACAUGUUUAGAAACAUCUUAAGAGCAAUAUCUAUGAAAUUAAUUGAAUCGAAGCUAUUAAAAGUGAGAAAAGUUAAACUGGGUUUACAAAAACGAGUUGAAAAAACCUAAUUUUCCGCAAAAACCUGCAAGAGGUUGAAGAAGCUGAAAUUUUAGCUUUUCAGUGACGCCCACUCUCGGACAGAGGCGUGUUGGGGGCGCGUGGGCCCCCUUAGCUCCAAUUUUGGGGAAAUACUUACCGUAGAAUCCAAACAUUUAUAAUGAUUUUCUGGUAUUUUUUCAUAAUAUUUUGGAAUUCGGGAAGUAUUUCUUUUAGAUUUAUUACUUCUGAGAAUUAAAAAAAUUACAGUAAAUAAUUUUGGCCGUCAAAAUUUCUUAAUUACUGGAAAUUAUUGAAAAUUAUUCUAAAAACAUUGGUAUGCUUCACUCUCCUUUUAUAUCAUUAGAUUAAUUAUUCUCCUAUUUUCGAGUAUAUUAAGCUCACUUUAAUAUUGCAAUAAGAGAAUAUAAUUUCAAAAAUUGAAUUGUUGUUCAAUGUAGCAACUUGAUAUGGCACACACAAUCGUUGCAUAAAGGCAAUAUUAUUAUACACAUAUAAUCCUAUUAAUUAAUAAAAUUACCAGCCCAAAGGAGGGUGAUUUUAUGAAUUAAAUUUUAUGAAAAAGUUGCAUUUUUCCAACAUUUCUGAGUAUUGCAUCAUAUUUUUCUGAAUGGGUAAGUUAAGUUCUCUUUUCCCAGAAAAGGAAGAAAAAGUCAAGUGUUAGAAAGACAAAUCAAAAAAUUGGUUUUAGAUGGACAGAGUAACUCCAUUGUUAAAACUCAUAAGCGUUCUUCUACAGAUGUAACUUUGGUCUUUGGAAUAGUUUUUAUUUUCAAAUUAAGUUAUCUUAUUUGUGGUGAAGACUUCUGAAGUCUUAUAAAUGUGAAAUCUUUAUUCAAAAUGAAGACCUGAGCUACUUUAGACCAAGUCGAGGUAUGUCAAUUAAGAGACUCUUCAUUAGUUAAGUCUACCAAUGUUUUUGUCCUCUUGAGCCCUGAUAAUAGGCUAGAUUUAUAUAAUUUGGUGACUGUUUAUGUCCCAGCUUGAUUAUGUUUCACCGUUAUAAUAUAGUUAAAUGAUGAUGAAUUGGGUUCUAAUUGUGAAUUUCACAUGUUGCAGGAGUGAGUAGCAGGUAUGAGGACUUAAAAUUGUGAUUGGAGCUAAAUUGAAGCAAGAAAAGCCCCUAGGAGCUGAGUACGUGGGAAGAUGAGAGAAAGAAAAGAUGAAAUGAAGACCUGGACUAGCGCGACCGCGCUAGCCCAGAAAGUCGAGGCAGAAUGAUAGGCCAUAUGCGCGGUUAUUAGCGCGGCCACUAGCGCAACCGCGCUAGCCCAGUUCCGGAGAAUUAAACUUCAGGGGUAAACUUGGAAAUUAGGGGGUAAAUCCACUUAACUUAUAGAAGGUCCAGCUCGCCCAAGGAAGGAUUAUCAAGGUUUUCAUAGCUUAGUUCAAGGCAAGGAGAGGCAAGAGGCAAGAAGGAUAAUUCAACAUCGAGUUCUUCCUUUUGUUUUUACUAUUUGUGAUGAAUUUGAAUAUUGUUAUGAUGAACACUAGUAUGAGUAGCUNN